This is a long non-coding RNA of Panicum virgatum (switchgrass), 2496 nucleotides long. RefSeq lists it as uncharacterized. Lineage: Eukaryota; Viridiplantae; Streptophyta; Magnoliopsida; Poales; Poaceae. The transcript has 4 exons. The record is from RefSeq and is a predicted model, not a curated record.
CGCGCCCGUCCGAUUGGCGUCCCCCCUCCCCCCGGGUUCCCGAGAUUCGGCGGCGCUGCUGGGCUAGGGGAGGCGUCUAGCGCGGGGCUGCAGAGGAAGGCGCCGACGAUCGAGCGGCAGCUGGCUUGUAGUCUGGAGAAGCCCGGGGACGAUGACGCGGGGGAGGAACCGCCGCCACAGAUAGGGCGCUUGCGGGUGCGGAUGCGGGUGUGUGACGCGGGCGCCGGCGACGCGAGCGGGGAGAGGAAGGAGGGGUCCUACUUCGUCCUGGAGGUGGCGGCGGGGGUCGCUCGUGGCCUCUCCAUACUAAGAAGGUGAAGAUCUCCAGGGAUCUUCUUGACGCCACCGGGUGAGACCGCUGAUUCCUUGUCCAAUUUGUUUGUUGUGUACUACAUACUUACGCCAGGUUUUAGCAUUUUGUUCUUCUGAAUGCAAAUGGGGGUGUACUCUAAGAUUGGUGCACUUCUGCACCAACACUCUUUUAUUGAGGAGCAUUAAUCAAAACUUAGUUGUUUCAGUCCAUGUCAUUUCUGUUACUGUUGCCCCCUCGUACGGUGGUCCAUGGCACUUCUGCACCAACACUCUUUGUGGUUGUUGUGGUCUGAUUUUUUAGAUGGGAAGUGGAUUGCAUGGUGUUUGUUUUGCUCACUAGAAUAACAUUAUUUAACAACUAAUUGUGGAUGAAGGUUACUGGUAAGUGGCACUGGUGCAAUGGCUAAAAAGAUGCUCUGUUUCUUCUUGUGAGCAUGGAUUAUGAAAUUAUUAACACACAGAUACUGCCCAACAUAAAUUGGCAUGCUUUCAGGACUCGUGCCUUUCGUCUGCCACUAUUUCUGUGGAUCAUUGUCUGUGAUUAGUGCCAUGCCAUUCUUGCUUUAUCUCAAACUGAUUGCCGAUGAGAUUAUUGGUUUUGUCAUUAAAGGUGGGACAUAUUAAAGCCUGUGACGCCUGUGUUUUCUCGUGCGAAAUCAGAACCCUAUCCUCCCUGAAGUUGAAGAGGGAGCUCUGCCAGAACUUGUCUCACUCCAGGGGCUAUGUAAACACCUAACUGGUUUUUCAGGCAUCAAAAUUAAACGCCUCAGAAAGCUCCAGGAAAUCGAGGAUCCAUUUACUGAGGUAUGUGUAAGCUACUGAAGCUCAUACCAUGUUGCAGAUUCACUACGUCAGCUGAGAAUUUCAGAAGCCGGCGCCGCACCACAGCCAUAGAGCACUGUCAUUUUGACGAUUGGAGGCGGAUUAUGCUAUAUGCAGGAGCUUCGAGGUUGGUUUGUGUUCUAAUUGACUGAACUGAUGGAUGGCAUAUCCAUAUUUUCAUUUUUCAAAUUUCAGCCGAUGAUUUCAGGAUGAGAGUACGAAACAAGGACUCACAUCUUUGAAGAAGUAAACCAUGAUAUGGCUGAAUAAAUUGCAAUGGUAUAUCCUGUCCUUUUAUUUCCUAAUUAUAGUUCGAUGGUGCCCAGCCAUAGUAAAAGACAUGAGUCUAGGCUUCUUGGUUCUGGCUCACCAAUGCAGAUCACUUUAUCAUAGGGAAGGAGCCAAGACCCUCAAUUCUUUUUCAUAUUACCGCUAAGUCCAUUUAUUCUGUUAUAUAUUGACAUUGUGCACUUAUUACUCGCUUACUCAGAGUCCUGGCAUGAUCAUGGUUCACCUGCUUUCUUAAGAAGUCUUGAAAAAAAUUUUCUCCAAUCUCACUUUGCAUACUCUAAACUUUGAUUAACUUAUUGUGUCUGUACUGACAACUAACUCUGCAAGAGUUUUGCCGUACCUCUGAAUAUACUGAUAUUUGAAAUGGGUUUCCACCCUAGCAAGAAAAAUGUUUAAGCUGCAAAUCUCCAUAUAUUUUCAUGCAAUGUAUCUGACUGUGGCAUCAUUGUGUCGUUUUCAAGUUGAGCUUAUCAUCGAAUACAAUGUUUGGCAUAUUUUCCAUACAUGUUUUUUCCUGUUACUUGUUUACGAAGCUGGAACUAAACAUUUUCUUCUUUGGCUGAAUGCACAUAUGGCCAAUAGCAUGUGGUUCAUGUCGUUUUUUCAUGUGUUUUACUAAAAAAAAGACUAUAAAGAGUGUAUGUUUUCUCUUCUUUCGGGUUAUCUCUUGUGCCAUCUAAAUCAUUGCAAGCCAAUAGAUUUUCUCUUGUGUCAUCUAAAUCAUUGCAAGCCAAUAUAUUUUCUAGGGGUCAUUCAGCUGAUGGAGGUGAUGCCAAUUCAUCAAGAUGUAUGGAGUUGCAAUGACAAAAUUCCACAAUUUGAGAUACUAUAUUUGAGGAAAAUAGAUUAUUCAUCCACCAAGAGUUAGCAAUUGUAUACUGAUGGUGCUCUAACUAAUGAUGUAAUAAACAAUAUAUUAUGAGUCAGUUCCAUGGAAGUUAGGAAGGCCUGAUGGAGCAAUCUUUUAUUUGAUGAAAAAUUAAAUGUAUAUGGAGUUUGCUAUAUUCUUAACUGAGCUAUACAUAUUCCUGCAUAGAGUGUAAGUGUUUGGCUCUUUCUCUGGGAGCCUUA